Molecule: ribosomal RNA, 757 nt
Filed under: uncultured bacterium
Lineage: Bacteria
Description: bacterial SSU rRNA
Rfam family: Bacterial small subunit ribosomal RNA
Source: RNAcentral
GUGGCGAGUGGCGAACGGGUGAGUAAUGCAUCGGAACGUGCCCAACUGUGGGGGAUAGCUCGGCGAAAGCCGGAUUAAUACCGCAUACGAUCCACGGAUGAAAGCGGGGGACCUUCGGGCCUCGCGCAGUUGGAGCGGCCGAUGUUAGAUUAGGUAGUUGGUGGGGUAAAGGCUCACCAAGCCGACGAUCUAUAGCUGGUCUGAGAGGACGACCAGCCACACUGGGACUGAGACACGGCCCAGACUCCUACGGGAGGCAGCAGUGGGGAAUUUUGGACAAUGGGCGCAAGCCUGAUCCAGCAAUACCGCGUGCAGGAAGAAGGCCUUCGGGUUGUAAACUGCUUUUGUACGGAACGAAAAGGUCUGGGUUAAUACCCUGGGCUCAUGACGGUACCGUAAGAAUAAGCACCGGCUAACUACGUGCCAGCAGCCGCGGUAAUACGUAGGGUGCAAGCGUUAAUCGGAAUUACUGGGCGUAAAGCGUGCGCAGGCGGUUAUGUAAGACAGGCGUGAAAUCCCCGGGCUCAACCUGGGAAUUGCGCUUGUGACUGCAUAACUAGAGUACGGUAGAGGGGGAUGGAAUUCCGCGUGUAGCAGUGAAAUGCGUAGAUAUGCGGAGGAACACCAAUGGCGAAGGCAGUCCCCUGGACCUGUACUGACGCUCAUGCACGAAAGCGUGGGGAGCAAACAGGAUUAGAUACCCUGGUAGUCCACGCCCUAAACGAUGUCAACUGGUUGUUGGGUAUUUACUUACUCA